Long non-coding RNA from Pleuronectes platessa (European plaice), 636 nucleotides. RefSeq lists it as uncharacterized. The record is from RefSeq and is a predicted model, not a curated record. NCBI's taxonomy places the organism in Eukaryota, Metazoa, Chordata, Actinopteri, Pleuronectiformes, Pleuronectidae. The transcript has 3 exons.
GAUACCAACAGCUUCAUUGCGGGGAAAAGUGUACACAAUCAACGAAUUGAACGGCUCUGGCGUGAUGUGUUCAUGAGUGUAACUGGAGUAUACUACAACAUCCUGCACUCUCUUGAAGAACAACACAUGCUGGACAUCAGCAACAUCCUACAUAUUCUGCUGCCACUACGUUUUCCUCCCACGAAUCCAGGCCAGCCUGGAUGUUUUCUGUGAGGCAUGGGACAAACAUCCUAUUAGGACUGAGGAAAACCUGACUCCUAAUCAGUUGUGGCAGGUGGGACAGGCCCUGAAUCCCAUUGCAGAUCCUGAUCCCCAGGGUCUGUUCAUUCCGGAGAUCGAAUGGGAGGAGAGUGGAUUCAUCAACGACAUUUAUCCCAGCGUCAAUGUCCCUACUCAGGAAAGACCUCUCUCAGACCCUCAAAUGAUGGAACUGCAGGACAACAUUGAUCCACUGCAAGAGUCAGAUUGCUUUGGAAUGGACAUACAUCUCAGCACUGUCCAAUAUGUUGAGAACCUACUUCAGGCAACAUAAACACACAUACAAGUCAGUGCUAGAGUUUAGUUUAGUUUCUGGGCCAGUUAUCUUUGAUCAACCUAUGUAAUCUUAAUUUUGGUGUUCACUAGUAUGAUAGGAAG